CGAGCGCAACCCUAUUGUUAGUUGCCAUCAUUCAGUUGGGCACUCUAGCGAGACUGCCGGUAAUAAACCGGAGGAAGGUGGGAUGACGUCAAAUCAUCAUGCCCCUUUAUGUCUUGGGCUUCACGCAUGCUACAAUGGCCGGUACAAAGGGCUGCGAUACCGCGAGGUGGAGACGAAUACCCAGAAAGCCGGUCUCAGUUCGGAUUGGGGUCUGCAACUCGACCCCAUGAAGUCGGAGUCGCUAGUAAUCGCAGAUCAGCAACGCUGCGGUGAAUACGUUCCCGGGCCCUU
Molecule: ribosomal RNA, 291 nt
Filed under: uncultured Micrococcineae bacterium
Lineage: Bacteria; Bacillati; Actinomycetota; Actinomycetes; Micrococcales
Description: partial 16S ribosomal RNA
Rfam family: Bacterial small subunit ribosomal RNA
Source: RNAcentral